CUUUACUGUAGCUUUACAUUGGACUUUGAACAGAUCUGUGUAGGAUAGGUGGGAGGCUUUGAAGUGCGGAUGCUAGUUCGCAUGGAGCCAACGUUGAAAUACCACCCUGGUGUGUUUGAGGUUCUAACCUUGGCCCCUGAAUCGGGGUUGGGGACAGUGUAUGGUGGGCAGUUUGACUGGGGCGGUCUCCUCCCAAAGUGUAACGGAGGAGUUCGAAGGUACGCUAGGCACGGUCGGAAAUCGUGCUGAUAGUGCAUUGGCAUAAGCGUGCUUGACUGCGAGACUGACAAGUCGAGCAGGUACGAAAGUAGGACAAAGUGAUCCGGUGGUUCUGUAUGGAAGGGCCAUCGCUCAACGGAUAAAAGGUA
RNAcentral lists this ribosomal RNA (368 nucleotides) under uncultured organism. RNAcentral's name for it is "bacterial LSU rRNA". It matches the Rfam family "Bacterial large subunit ribosomal RNA", at positions 2099 to 2465 of the family's 2925-position model. The record is from RNAcentral.